UUUUUCGGUAAAGACAGUUAGGCAAAAAAGAAUCGUUAGACCUUUAGUACAGGAGUAAAAUCUAAAUACUAAGAGUUAUCUCCAACACGGUUUAUUUUAAAAGCUGAAUCUGUGACAACUUUAAGGGAAACUGGGAUUGGAUACCCCAUUAUUUUUAGUAGUAAAUUUUAUUUAAAUAUACCAGAGUACUACGAAUAAAAAGUUUAAAACUCAAAGAGCUUGGCGGUGUUUUAGACCUCUCAGGGGAACCUGUCUCAUAAUCGACAAUCCACGUUAUACCCGACCCUCUAUGGCAAUUCAGCCUGUAUACCGUCGUCGUCAGGUAACUUUUUAAAAUAUAGUAGUUAGCUUGAAAACCCUAUUAAUUAAAACGUCAGAUCAAGGUGCAGCUUAUAAGAGGGAGAGGAUGGGUUACAAUUAUAAAUUUAUAAUUACGAAAGACGCUUAAAAUAAAGCAUCAGAAGGAGGACUUGAAAGUAAUUUUAGCUACAUAAAUAAAAUGAAUAAGGCUCUGAAACGUG
RNAcentral lists this ribosomal RNA (521 nucleotides) under Conus anabathrum floridanus. RNAcentral describes it as "partial 12S ribosomal RNA". Lineage: Eukaryota; Metazoa; Mollusca; Gastropoda; Neogastropoda; Conidae. The record is from RNAcentral.